GGAUGGAUCAUUAACAAAGGAUUCUAUCCAAUGUAUUGUGAACUGUAUUGAAAAGACAGUCAGUGUGCUUGUCAUGCUGGCCGUACCAAACAAACGUAUUCAAACUGACGUCUACUUUAGUACAACUAAAGACAACUUUUAGCAACGGAUCUCUUGGCUCUCGCAACGAUGAAGAACGCAGCAAAAUGCGAUACGUAAUGUGAAUUGCAGAACCGUGAAUCAUCAAAUCUUUGAACGCACAUUGCACUGUCUGGAACUCCGGGCAGUAUACCUGUUUGAGUAUCAGUAACAUCUCUCCCACCAAAACUCGGUCAAACGAGCGGCAGAAGGAUCUGAGCCGUCAUCUCGCCGUAUCUCGGUAGAGGAGCGGCUUUAAACUGAUUUGCUGGUGUGGAAGGAGCUAGCUGACAGAGUUAAUGGAUCUCUGGAUCUGUCGCUGUCUGGCAAAACUGUUUCCGUCACUGGCUACUUAAAACUCACCACACAGUGUUAUGACUGUGAUCUUGAUCUCAAAUCAGGUAAGAUUACCCGCUGAACUUAAGCAUAUUAAUAAGCGGAGGAAAAGAAACUAACAAGGAUUCCCCUAGUAAUGGCGAAUGAAGCGGGAACAGCUCAAAUUUAAAAUCUCCUCGGAGAAUUGUAGUUUAAAGAAGUGUCUUCGUUGGUGGCCUGGGUACAAGUCCCUUGGAAUAGGGCAUCAUAGAGGGUGAGAAUCCCGUCUUUGACUCAGGUACUGCCACACUGUGAUACACUUUCAAAGAGUCGGGUUGUUUGGGAAUGCAGCCCAAAGUAGGUGGUAUAUUUCAUCUAAAGCUAAAUACAGGCGAGAGACCGAUAGCGAACAAGUACCGUGAGGGAAAGAUGAAAAGAACUUUGAAAAGAGAGUUAAAUAGUACGUGAAAUUGCUAAAAGGGAAACGAUUGAAAUCAGUGUUGAGUGGUGAAAAUCAGCCGGUCAGAAAUGGUCGGUGCACUUUUUGCCAUUCAGGUCAACAUCAGUUUUGUGGUGAGGUAAAUUAGUGCGGGAAGGUGGCUCCCUCGGGAGUGUUAUAGCCUGCAUGAGUGCCUCGCUCGAGACUGAGGACUGCAGUACAUGCCAAUGGCUGGCGACCCGUGUACUACUUUUCAAGUGUUCAGAGACAGCAUGCUGACUCUGUCUAGUUGAACGGUACCUAUGCGGCUAGCACAAAUGUACUAAGGAUGUUGACGAAAUGGUUUUAAACGACCCGUCUUGAAACACGGACCAAGGAGUCUAACACAUGUGCGAGUAUUUGGGUGAAAAGCCCAUAUGCGAAAUGAAAGUAAACUGGGUGGGAUCCCGCAAGGGUGCACCAUCGACCGGUCUUGACUUUUAAUGAUAGAUCUGAGUAAGAGCAUAUGUGCUGGGACCCGAAAGAUGGUGAACUAUGCCUGAAUAGGGUGAAGCCAGAGGAAACUCUGGUGGAAGCUCGUAGCGGUACUGACGUGCAAAUCGUUCGUCAAAUUUGGGUAUAGGGGCGAAAGACUAAUCGAACCUUCUUGUAGCUGGUUCCCUC
RNAcentral lists this unclassified non-coding RNA (1534 nucleotides) under uncultured fungus. RNAcentral's name for it is "sequence contains 18S rRNA gene, ITS1, 5.8S rRNA gene, ITS2, 28S rRNA gene". The stretch from base 505 to 1534 matches the Rfam family "Eukaryotic large subunit ribosomal RNA", at positions 1 to 961 of the family's 3401-position model. The record is from RNAcentral. Lineage: Eukaryota; Fungi.